Molecule: long non-coding RNA, 325 nt
Organism: Phyllostomus discolor (pale spear-nosed bat)
Lineage: Eukaryota; Metazoa; Chordata; Mammalia; Chiroptera; Phyllostomidae
Exons: 3
Source: RefSeq, a predicted model, not a curated record
GGGCGACGUGGCUCACCGUGAGUUUAAUAGGGGUGGCAGCAGGAGGGUGCCGGCGGGGUAGCGUUGUUCCUUAUCGCUUCUCGGCCUUUUGGCUAAGAUCAAGUGUAGUAUCUGUUCUUAUCAGUUUAAUAUCUGAUACGUCCUCUAUCCGAGGACAUUAUAUUAAAUGGAUUUUUGGAGCUGGGAGAUGGAAUAGGAGCUUGCUCCGUCCACUCCGCGCAUCGACCCGGUAUUGCAGUACUUCCGGGAACGGUGCACCCCCUCGGGGGACAAAACUUACGGUGCUAAUAGUAGACUCUUGCACAUUUCAGCUGCUGGGCUGGUU